RNAcentral lists this long non-coding RNA (498 nucleotides) under Marmota monax (woodchuck). The record is from RNAcentral. Lineage: Eukaryota; Metazoa; Chordata; Mammalia; Rodentia; Sciuridae.
UUCCAGAAGGUGCUUUUUGUCCUAUCUGGGUGCCUGAACGUGCAAUCAGACAUGGAAGAGAUAGAACCGAGAUUCAAGCGACUGAAGAUCGACCCAGAGAAGCCCCCAUCCAAAAGGAAGAGAUAUUGGAAAAAGACAAAGAUAAACCAGAUUGACCCAGCCAAAAAGCUGAUUUCAUGGGAAGAUGUGAAGAAGCUAAUAACACAGGCUGCCUGAAUAAUUCGACUCCUAGGAAAGAACAGGACCCCAGUCUUGCUGGGCUGCCAGGUAAAGGGGAACCAGAUAGACACUUACUGGACAUAUUUCCCAGAUCCACCCCUGGUACAUCUAGCUGUGUGGACUGGAGAAUCUAUUCCAGUGUUUACUAAUGACUCAUUCAUGAUGGGAGGAUUUACAGAUACUCAUAUUACUCCCAAUCAUGUGACUAGAUUUAAUUAUUCUGGCUACAGUGCCCAAUUACCUUUGUGUUGGUCCCACGAUAAACAUGCUGGCUGGCUG